Molecule: non-coding RNA, 1336 nt
Organism: Myodes glareolus (Bank vole)
Lineage: Eukaryota; Metazoa; Chordata; Mammalia; Rodentia; Cricetidae
Source: RefSeq, a predicted model, not a curated record
AAGGCCUCCGCAUUACUGGAAUCCAGGGUUCACCCGUGCGAAGUCCUGGGGUGCGGGGCUGCAUCUUUUCCUGGACCUUCUUUCUCCAAUGCAGUUGUCCGUCGUGGAGAAAGUUCUCGGUUUGAGUUCUAAUGGAAUCUACAGCUCCUCCCCACCCCCGACUAAAGGGCAUAUCGUUCUGUCCUGAGAGGAAGAGAUGGCUUCUGUUUCGCCGCCGAAAGAAUAGCGACGAGGAGCAAUCAGGAUUAUGCGGGCCCCGGACCUUGUCUUGGAUGCUUCUGUCUCAGUUUCCUCGCUGGGAAGAUGAGAAGAAAAAUCUAUCUGCUGUAGAUGCGUAAGACGGAACGGUAUGUAUAUUGCACACAGAGACAAGCAUGCAAGAGUUUUCUAGCUUUUCCCUCUGCACCCAGAGCAGUAGCUACUAUUUAUUUAUUUAUUUUUAGUUCUGGCCAUAUUCUCCGCAUUGUGCUAAGGCUAGGCCUUGAGAUGCUCUUCUACAUUGGAAUAUGCUCAAUAAACGACUGUAUAUCCUUGUACCCUUGUCAACCCCAAACAACUUGACUAUUUGAAGGUCAAAGGUCAGUUUUGGGAAGUCACUGGACAGCAUUUGUAUCUAUAGCGAAGCUGCCAAGCAAUAAUGCUUUCUAUUCUAAGCACACCAAGAGAAAUUCAAUUUUUUUAAAAAAGAGUAUAUUUUACAUAAACAUAUUUUAAAAAAUCACCAGCUAUAACACAUUUCCUGAAAGAAAUCUAUCACACAUAUUGUCUCUAUAGCUUGGCUAACAUACACAAUCUUCUACUUAUGCUUGGUAACCUCUAUCAAGCCUCCAAAGAGUCUCACCUUUAGAGGUUUGAAAGGGGAUCGAUGGGACAGCUUUGGUCUGCCAAUUGGGUAAUGUCAUACAGUAAGAAAUUGCUGGCCAAGAAGACCUAACAACCAUGGGGUGUGGCAUCUCACUUGGGGCACUAUGGUUGUGAACGGCUAACUGGUAUACCACUCUCUUGAGCAUGCUCCCCUCCGUGGUGGUUGGAAGAGUGGGUGCAAAAGAGCAGGUUCAAGGCAGCUCGCUCUUAUUCAAAUAGAUUCUCGCACAAACCAGAAGAGGAACUUACAUGAGUGUAGAGCACACUUUAAAUUUCUAGCAGCCUUCCGUGUUUUCUUUUAAUUUUUUGUUAUUAAUUUUACAUAUCUACCACAGUUCUCCCUCCGCUUUUCCUGCUCCCUGCCAUCUCACUCUCCAACCUACUUGCCCCCCAUUCUAGUCCUCCAAAAGGGUAAAGUCUGGCACAUUAAGUUGAGGUAGGGUCAAGGCCCUCCCCCUUGCAUCAAGGCUGA